This is a long non-coding RNA of Cyanoderma ruficeps (rufous-capped babbler), 3030 nucleotides long. The record is from Ensembl. Lineage: Eukaryota; Metazoa; Chordata; Aves; Passeriformes; Timaliidae.
GGACAGGGGCUGGGGACACCGGACAGGGGCUGGGGACACCGGAGAGGGGCUUGGGGACACCGGGCAGGGGUGUAAGGACAGCUGGCAGGGGUGUGGGGACAUCGGGCAGGGGUCCAGGGACACCGGACUGUGGGGGACACCGGGAAAUGGGGCCCGGGGACACCGGACACCGCCUUGGGGACACCGGACAGGGGCUGGGGACACCGGACAGGGGCAUGGGGACAUCGUGCAGUGGUCUGGGGACAUCGGGCAGUGGCUUGGGGACAUCAUACGGGGGUCUGGGGACACUGGGCAGGGGUCCAGGGAUGCUGGGACACUGGACAGGGAACUGGGGACACCAGAGAGGGGCUGGGGACACACAGAGUGUCUUGGUGACAUCAUAGGGGGGCUGGGGACAUCGGGCAGGGGGCUGGGGACACACGGAGGGUCUCGGUGACAUCGGAUAGAGGCUUGGAGACACCAGGCAGGGGACUGGGGACACUGGGCAGGGGUCUGGGGACACCGGGCAGGAGCCUGGGGACACGCACGGGGACUUGGGGACACCGGACAAGGUGUUGGUGGCACAGAACCGGGUGCUGGUGGCACAGAACUGGGUGUCGGUGACAGAACCGGGUGUCGGUGACACAGAACCGGGCGCUGGUGGCACAGAACCGGCUGUCGGUGACACCGGAGAGGGCGCUGGUGACACGGGACGGGGUCCGGGUGGCACCGGGCAGGCUCCGGGUGACACCGGAGAGGGCGCUGGUGACACGGGAUGGGCUCCGGGUGACACCGGAGAGGGCGCUGGUGACACGGGACGGGCUGUUGGGGACACCAGAGAUGGCGCCGGUGGCACCGGACGGGGCGCUGGUGGCACCGGAGAAAGUGAUGGUGACACCGGAGGUGGCGCCGGUGGCACCGGGCGGGGAUCGGGUGGCAGGGACAGGACCGGUGGCACCGGACACGGUGGAUGGGGACACCGGAGAUGGCGCCGGUGGCACCGGGCAAGGCUCUGGUGGCACCGGAGAAAGUGCUGGGGACACCGGAGAUGGCGCCAGUGACACCGGGCGAGACCAUGACGGGCCGAGCGCCGCCCUCCGGCCUCCAGAUCCGCUUCAUCGACCGCCUGGAGGAAAAAAACCCCAAAAAAACCCCCAAAAACCCCCAAAACCCAAAUUUCCCAAAUGCCCCGACGAGCCCAAACCCUCCGGGGAUCCCCAGAAAUUCGGGAAUCGCCAGGAAUUCCGGGAUUUCCUACGGGGUGGCCGUGAGGGUCCAGGGCAUCGCGGGCCAGCCUUUCGUGGUUCUCAACAGCGGAGAAAAGCGGCAGGAGAGUUUCGGGGUCCAGAUCAAGGCGGGAAAUUUGGGGUUUGAUGGGGUGGGAGAGGGAAAAACGGGGAGAAAUUCACGUUUCGGGGAGGUUGGGGAGGAGAAAACGCGAAAAAAUUGGGGUUUGGGGGAGGUUGGAGAGGCAGAAAUGGUGAAAAAUUCACAUUUUGGGGAGGUUGGGGAGGGAAAAAUGGGGAAAAAUUCACAUUUUGGGGAGGUUGGGGAGGGGAAAAUGGGGAAAAAUUCACAUUUUGGGGAGGUUGGGGAGGGGAAAAUGGGGAAAAAUUCACGUUUUGGGGAGGUUGGGGAGGGGAAAAUGGAAAAUUCACGUUUUGGGGAGGCUGGAGAAGGAAAAAUGGGAAAAAGUCGGGAUUUUGAUGAGGUCAGAGAGGGAAAAAUGAGACGAAAUUCCGAUUUUGAGGAUUUUCGGGCUCCUAAAACGGCCCCAGAUCCCGAUUUCGAGGAGUUUGGAGAUCCAAAAAUGCCCCAAAAUCCUUACGGGAACAAAGGGGAAAGAGGAUCCCAAAAAAUCCCAAAAUUUUCGGGUGAGGAAUUUGGGGGGUCCCAAGAAAUUCCGGAAUUUUCUGAUGAAGAGUUUGAAGGAUCCCGAGAAAUUCCAGAAUUUUCGGAUGAGGAAUUUGGGGGAUCCCGAGAAAUCCCGAAAUUUUCGGAUGAGGAGUUUGAAGAAUCCCAAAAAAUCCCGGAAUUUUCGGGUGAAGAAUUUGAAGGACCCCGAGAAAUCCCGGAAUUUUCGGAUGAGGAAUUCGAAGAAUCCCAAAAAACCCCAAAAUUUUUGGGCCGACCCUCCCGACCUCGGGACGACCUUCGCCGUUCCCGAUCCCACGACGACCUUUCUGCUCCUUUGCCCCAAAUCCCCCAAAAUUCGGGGAAAAUCCCCCAAAUUCCCCAAAACUCGGGAAAAAACCCUCGGGAAAUCCCCAAAAAUCCCGAAAAAACCGACGGAAAAAUCCCCAAAAAUCCGGGAAGAAACAGUCGGGAAUUCUCCGAAAUGGUGGAAAAAAACGACGGAAAAACCCCCAAAAACCCCGAAAAAAACGACGGAAAAAUCCCCAAAAAUCCCGAAAAAAACGACGGAAAAAUCCCCCAAAAUUCCGGCGACGUCGACACGGAACCUCUGAGCUCCGUCGAUUCCCUCAUUUCCAAAUUCGACCCAAAAGUUGGGAAUCUUUGGCCUCGGGGCCGAAGGAACCGAAGGGUCGAGCCCGGGAAACGCUCCCGGAGUUUGGAAUCCCGAAAUUCCCGAGAAUCCCUCGGGGUCCGACGGGAAAUUCCCGAAUUUUCCGCCGGCGGGGACGAGCGGAACGUGGAGAUCGAGCUGAAAUCCACCCCGGACCUGCUGCGGGACCAGCGGGAACUGGGGGCAGGAGAAAAACCCGCCGAGCUCAUCUACGGGAUCCUCAGAGAGGGGUGAGCCCCAAAAACGGCCCAAAAUGCCCCAAAAAUACCAAAAAUCUGCAUUAAAAAUCAUAACAUCCAAAAUUGCCCCAAAAUUGCCCAAAUUCCCCCAAAAUUCCCCCAAAACUUCCUUAAAUCUCCUCCAAAUUUCCCCAAAUCCCCCCAAAACCUCCCCAAAUUCUCCCCAAAUCCCAAAAAUUUCCCCCAAAAUUCCCCAAAACCCCCCCCAAAUCUCCCUAAAACCCCCAAAUCUCCCUAAAACCCCCCAAAUUUCCCAAAAUCCCCCCAAAAUCUCCCCAAAUCCCA